UACGGAGGAUGCAAGCGUUUUUCGGAAUUAUUGGGCGUAAAGGGCGUGUAGGCGGUUAGCUAAGUCAGAUGUGAAAUCCCUAGGCUUAACCUAGGAAAUGCAUUUGAAACUGGUUAGCUAGAGUACGGGAGAGGAAGGUGGAAUUCCUGGUGUAGAGGUGAAAUUCGUAGAUAUCGGGAAGAACACCCGUGGCGAAGGCGGCCUUCUGGCCCGAUACUGGCGCUGAGACGCGAAAGCGUGGGGAGCAAACAGG
RNAcentral lists this ribosomal RNA (253 nucleotides) under uncultured bacterium. RNAcentral's name for it is "partial 16S ribosomal RNA". It matches the Rfam family "Bacterial small subunit ribosomal RNA", at positions 524 to 776 of the family's 1533-position model. The record is from RNAcentral.